Molecule: ribosomal RNA, 429 nt
Filed under: Chloroflexota bacterium
Lineage: Bacteria; Bacillati; Chloroflexota
Description: Chloroflexi bacterium partial 16S ribosomal RNA
Rfam family: Bacterial small subunit ribosomal RNA
Source: RNAcentral
UGGGGAAUAUUGCACAAUGGGCGCAAGCCUGAUGCAGCCAUGCCGCGUGUGUGAAGAAGGCCUUCGGGUUGUAAAGCACUUUCAGCGGGGAGGAAGGCGAUAAGGUUAAUAACCUUGUCGAUUGACGUUACCCGCAGAAGAAGCACCGGCUAACUCCGUGCCAGCAGCCGCGGUAAUACGGAGGGUGCAAGCGUUAAUCGGAAUUACUGGGCGUAAAGCGCACGCAGGCGGUCUGUCAAGUCGGAUGUGAAAUCCCCGGGCGCAACCUGGGAACUGCAUUCGAAACUGGCAGGCUAGAGUCUUGUAGAGGGGGGUAGAAUUCCAGGUGUAGCGGUGAAAUGCGUAGAGAUCUGGAGGAAUACCGGUGGCGAAGGCGGCCCCCUGGACAAAGACUGACGCUCAGGUGCGAAAGCGUGGGGAGCAAACAGG